GGCCGUUGUUCCCUGAGGAUGGCAGACUUGUGGUUUGUCGAAGGCGUUGGGGAGUAGAGAGGUUUAUAUGUGCACGCAGCUGCCGUUCGAGUGGGCUUGUUUAGCCUGAUAAUAUUUCAUUUUUUCUUUUGGUCUUUCUCUUUAUUAGCAGUUUUAUCAUAUUUUAGCAUAGGAUGACCAGUAAUAGUCAGAAAGUAAUGCCUGUUAGAUUCAUUUGAGAGAUAUUUCCAACAAAGAAUAAACCACAAUUACUUUAGGUGAUGGUACAUGACUUCAUGUGGGAUUGAUAACUGUGAUUUAGACAAAUGCCAAAAUUUUCUUGAAUUCUUUAUAUUGAAAUAUAUGUUACAAAGUUCUCUUAUUCGCACAUUUUUAGUUUGUCAUUGUUAUUUCCAGAAACCAUCCACUAUAUCAGGAGUGGCCAAUCUUUUUGGAAGCAAGGGUGCAAUUAAAAAUUUUCAUGAAUAUUGCAGGCGCAAUAAUACGUAAUGACAUAUAUGUUUAUUGUUAAAGUUAUUUUUAAUUUUUUUUAAUU
Molecule: long non-coding RNA, 535 nt
Filed under: Androctonus crassicauda
Lineage: Eukaryota; Metazoa; Arthropoda; Arachnida; Scorpiones; Buthidae
Source: RNAcentral